This is a long non-coding RNA of Loxodonta africana (African savanna elephant), 2186 nucleotides long. RefSeq lists it as uncharacterized. The record is from RefSeq and is a predicted model, not a curated record. The transcript has 3 exons. NCBI's taxonomy places the organism in Eukaryota, Metazoa, Chordata, Mammalia, Proboscidea, Elephantidae.
CCGAGACUGGGGCCAGGGCAGGGACUGGGGCCAGGGCUAGUGGGGGCCAGGGCUAGGGCGGAGACUGGGGCCAGGGCAGGGACUGGCCAGCAAAUGGGCAGGAGGGAAGUUUCACAGUGCUGCAAGUGUUUUAAAACUGCACUGUGGUGAUGGCUGCACAGCUGUAAAUGUUUUCUAAAAACCAUUGACUGUACUUAACUGGGUGAACUGUGUGAUAUGCAAAUCAUAACUCAAUUAAACUGUUACAAGUGAAAGGAAAAAACAGAACUAGAGGUGGGAACCCACAGAACUUCCCCACCAGACCACUGAUAGUGCCUGUGACAGCGUAUGUCCUCACCCGCCGCCACCCCUGACUCAGCCUACGUCUGUGAGGAGCCAGCAGAGCUGGCACCAGCGUCAGGCCUCAUUCCUUCCCUCCGUGCCUGGCAGGUUCAAACAGCACCCCCACCUUCACCUAAACUCUAACAGGCAUCACAGUCCUGCUUCUCCCAUCAUAAUCAGUCAAGGUCCAGGAACCCCAGCUCACUGGCCUUCGAUGCCCUUCUAGCUACACUCACUGCUGGCCGCACCCACUCAAGGGGAAGAAGCUCCCACCCAGCACAACACGAGAAAAGCUGCAUCAGCAGUGGAUGGAGAAGAGGGCAGAGCACAGAGAAUGUAAUUAACUCAGGCUGGGAGGGGUACACGAGACGGGAGCUGCAUCCCAGGCCGGCAGCUGAGCUGCACCUUGAAGGGGAGGAAAUCUUGCCACCUAGACAAGCCAGAUACCAGGAGGGACUCCUUGGGAAAGAACAGCAUCCACAGAGGCGCACAGACAUGGAAAAGCAGGUGUGCUCGAGCACAGACAGGACUGCUCGCUGUGGGGGGGCUAGGGUGGCAGGCAGAGAGGACGUGGUUGCCUCUCGCUGCCAGCCCUGGGUCUAGGGGGUUGGAGGUGGGUAGGACCUCAGCUGCAGUCUGGAGAACAAAGCUCCUCUCCAAGUACGUGUGCCAGUGUUGCUGCUGGGCAGGGCCACAAGUGCACACCCUCACGGGAAGCUGGCCACCCAGCCACCCGUGCUGAGCUCAGCCCCAACAAGGUGCCACGCAGGGCACAGGACCGAGGGACUGGGAAAGCUGAGAGCCACCAGGGAAGAAGGGGGCGGAGACAGGACCUGGCAGGGAGCCAGCAGUGCCCUGCCUGCCCACAGAGGUCAGGAGCCCAUUCCCUACCCCCUUCCCCACCCGCCACAUUUCCCACUUGACUGAUGCUUGAAGAGGCCCAACUAUGCAUCAAGAUCACUGGUCUGAUAAGGGCAGGGCCAACCCCAGGCUCCAUUCAGGCCAGGAGCCCCAGUGUGGUCUCGACAUGGCCACAACCAGUGUCGUAGGCUUUUGAAUACCCUCCUCUAAGCCUACCAGGCAGGCUCCCAGAAAGCUGCUCCGACACCUGACACAGCUCUGGGGAGACUCCUGCCACACCACCUUCAAAAUCAAAGGCAGUGGGGGGGCGCCUAACUCGCUCUUCCCAUCCCUGCCCACCUAUUGGCAAGAGGGAAAAGGAAGAGCAGGAGAAGACACUGGCCAGGUAGGGGCCAGGACGCACACACGCAGACUCUAAAGACCAUGCUCCCGGAGAUGGGCCUGAGUGUCCUUCACUGAAGGAAAAAACCAGAGGCAGCAUUUUCUGUGAGCUGGGGUGAGACCACGUGGCUCCUGGGAAGUUCGGCUGAUCAGGCAUCGUCAGGCACCCAGACCAGCCGCUCUUCCGACCUGCUGCAGAACCGUCAGACCCUGAGCCUCUGGCCAGGACCCAGAGACAGUACAGGCACCCAAAUCCUCUCCCCAGGACAGGAGCCAGAUAGAUGCUCGACACAGCACCACGGCCUCAAGGGUUGCACUGGAUGAGCUGCGGCUUUAUUCUCUCACCAUUAAAGGUUAAAAGCCCAUAUAGGUUUUUGUUGGUAUCUUUGGUAAGGUAUUUUCAUCAUUAUGUGGACUCUCCAAUGGGCUGGAAGCAAAGCUGGAGCUGACCGCUCAGUACCUGCCCUACGGAGGGGUCCAAGUCUGGACACUUUCUUCGGUCCCACUGCACUAAACUGGAACACAACCUGCUCUUCCCCGGGAGGCAUGCCUGUCAGGGGUGCUGGGUGGUGCACUGCCACCAUCACAGGAUGGGGAGCAGACAGAGGGGCGUCCUGCAGCCU